This 465-nucleotide ribosomal RNA is filed under the name uncultured bacterium. RNAcentral describes it as "partial 16S ribosomal RNA". It matches the Rfam family "Bacterial small subunit ribosomal RNA", at positions 28 to 507 of the family's 1533-position model. The record is from RNAcentral.
GACGAACGCUGGCGGCGUGCUUAACACAUGCAAGUCGAACGGAAAGGCCCUGCUUGCAGGGUACUCGAGUGGCGAACGGGUGAGUAACACGUGGGUGAUCUGCCCUGCACUUCGGGAUAAGCCUGGGAAACUGGGUCUAAUACCGGAUAGGAGCCAUUUUUAGUGUGAUGGUUGGAAAGUUUUUUCGGUGUAGGAUGAGCUCGCGGCCUAUCAGCUUGUUGGUGGGGUAAUGGCCUACCAUGGCGGCGACGGGUAGCCGGCCUGAGAGGGUGGACGGCCACAUUGGGACUGAGAUACGGCCCAGACUCCUACGGGAGGCAGCAGUGGGGAAUAUUGCACAAUGGGCGCAAGCCUGAUGCAGCGACGCCGCGUGGGGGAUGACGGCCUUCGGGUUGUAAACUCCUUUCGCUAGGGACGAAGCUUUUUGUGACGGUACCUAGAUAAGAAGCACCGGCUAACUACGUG